This 1324-nucleotide ribosomal RNA is filed under the name metagenome. Its description in RNAcentral is "bacterial LSU rRNA". It matches the Rfam family "Bacterial large subunit ribosomal RNA", at positions 1561 to 2925 of the family's 2925-position model. The record is from RNAcentral.
AGUGGAUGGGGAGCAACCUAGUUGUGCGUGUGUAAAGGUAGUGCCAAGAAAAGCGAUGAUCAUGUUGAAAAUCAAUUCCCGGUACCCGAAACCGACACAGGUGGGCAAGUAGAGAAUACUAAGGGGCGCGAGGUAACUCUCUCCAAGGAACUCGGCAAAAUGACCCCGUAACUUAGGGAGAAGGGGUGCCACCGAGAGGUGGUCGCAGUGAAGAGGCCCAGGCGACUGUUUAGCAAAAACAUAGGUCUCUGCAAACUCGAAAGAGGAGGUAUAGGGGCUGACGCCUGCCCAGUGCCGGAAGGUUAAAGAAGUUGGUCAGUCUUAGGAUGAAGCUAGCGACUGAAGCCCCGGUGAACAGCGGCCGUAACUAUAACGGUCCUAAGGUAGCGAAAUUCCUUGUCGGGUAAGUUCCGACCCGCACGAAAGGCGUAACGAUCUGGGCGCUGUCUCGGAGAGAGGCUCGGCGAAAUAGGAUUGUCUGUGAAGAUACGGACUACCUGCAUUUGGACAGAAAGACCCUAUGAAGCUUUACUAUAGCUUGGAAUAGUGUUCGGGCUUCCUGUGCGCAGGAUAGGUGGGAGGCGUAGAAGGUAUUCUUGUGGGGAUACUGGAGCCAACGGUGAGAUACCACUCUCAGGAGGCUAGAAUUCUAACUUAAUUAAGGACAGUUUCAGGUGGGUUGUUUGACCGGGGCGGUCGCCUCCAAAAAGGUAACGGAGGCGUACAAAGGUUCCCUCAGACUGGUUGGAAAUCAGUCGAAGAGUGCAAAGGCAGAAGGGAGCUUGACUGCGAGAAGUACAGUUCGAGCAGGGUGGAAACACGGUCUUAGUGAUCCGACGGUGCUGCGUGGAAGGGCCGUCGCUCAACGGAUAAAAGUUACUCUAGGAUAACAGGCUGAUCUCCCCCAAGAGUUCACAUCGACGGGGAGGUUUGGCACCUCGAUGUCGGCUCAUCGCAACCUGGGGCGGAAGUACGUCCCAAGGGUUGGGCUGUUCGCCCAUUAAAGCGGUACGUGAGCUGGGUUCAGAACGUCGUGAGACAGUUCGGUCCAUAUCCGAUGUAGGCGUGAGAAUAUUGAGAGGAGCCUUCCUUAGUACGAGAGGACCGGGAAGGACGCACCGCUGGUGUACCUGUUAUGAUGCCAAUUGUAAACGCAGGGUAGCCAAGUGCGGAGAGGAUAACCGCUGAAAGCAUCUAAGUGGGAAGCCCACCUCAAGAUGAGUAUUCUGGUGUAAGGUCACGGGAAGACGACCCGUAAAUAGGCACGAGGUGGAAGUGCAGAGAUGUAUGAAGCCGAAGUGUACUAAUAGACCGUCGGCUUGAC